Molecule: transfer RNA, 86 nt
Filed under: Candidatus Latescibacterota bacterium
Lineage: Bacteria; Pseudomonadati; Candidatus Latescibacterota
Description: Candidatus Latescibacteria bacterium tRNA-Leu
Rfam family: tRNA
About the family: Transfer RNA (tRNA) molecules are approximately 80 nucleotides in length. Their secondary structure includes four short double-helical elements and three loops (D, anti-codon, and T loops).
Source: RNAcentral
GCCGGGGUGGCGGAACUGGCAGACGCAGCGGACUUAAAAUCCGCUGGAGCGCGAGCUCCAUACCGGUUCGAUUCCGGUCCCCGGCA